Oryctolagus cuniculus (rabbit) is the source of this 665-nucleotide non-coding RNA. NCBI's taxonomy places the organism in Eukaryota, Metazoa, Chordata, Mammalia, Lagomorpha, Leporidae. The record is from RefSeq and is a predicted model, not a curated record.
CUCAGCCGGUUGGGCUCGUUGAUGGUGAUCCAGAGCUUCACCAGGUCCCCCAGCUCCCGGAAGCACAGCCCUGCGUAGUCGCGGAAGGCCUUGGCCGUGGAUGGGUCCAGCCACCCCCCGCUGUGCAGCAGCGGCGCGGGCAGGCCCAGGUGAAAAGCAAGCAAAUGUGGGCAAUGAAUGCAGACCUGAGAGAGCUUGAAGACACCAAAAGUGUUCCAUGAAUCCUGUCUGGGUGGGGCAGUGAUAUGGUGCUGUUCAAACCAAGGUGGAAGGAGGAAGCACACGAAAGAAGAGCUGCUGCCGGUUAGCCCCAGCCCUUGCUCUCAGACUCAGUCACAUAAGCUCCGACAGAACAGCGAGAAGAACCCAGCAAUGAAAGCCCUCAGAUGCUGCAAGAUCCUAGCUUUUAUCAGCCUCGGGAUUCCUCCAAAACAUUGUCAAGUAACAUCACUAGGUCACCAAGGGCUUCUUCAAUUCUGUGAGUCACGCUUUACUGGCUAAUAAGUUGGAAGUUUCUGAUCUAUUCUCAGCAUUCCUACUCAGCAUCAGAGUUGUUGUCAAUCAUACCUUUUUUCUUUCAUAGAUUUUUUUUACAUAUUGUGUUCCCUGUAAGAAUUUAUAAAUGUAACUAAAUGACUUAUUUUAUGCCAUAAACGAAUAUAAAG